This 380-nucleotide ribosomal RNA is filed under the name uncultured eukaryote. Its description in RNAcentral is "partial 18S ribosomal RNA". It matches the Rfam family "Eukaryotic small subunit ribosomal RNA", at positions 592 to 976 of the family's 1831-position model. The record is from RNAcentral.
CAAUAGCGUAUAUUAAAGUUGUUGCGGUUAAAAAGCUCGUAGUUGGAUUUCUGUUGUGGACGAUCGGUCCGCCCUCUGGGUGAGCGUCUGACUCGGCCGCGACAUCUUCUUGGGGAACGUUUCUGCACUUGACUGUGUGGAGCGGUAUCCAGGACUUUUACUUUGAGGAAAUUAGAGUGUUUCAAGCAGGCGCACGCCUUGAAUACAUUAGCAUGGAAUAAUAAGAUAGGACCUCGGUUCUAUUUUGUUGGUUUCUAGAGCUGAGGUAAUGAUUAAUAGGGAUAGUUGGGGGCAUUCGUAUUUAACUGUCAGAGGUGAAAUUCUUGGAUUUGUUAAAGACGGACUACUGCGAAANCANNNGCCAAGGAUGUUUUCAUNGA